Long non-coding RNA from Wasmannia auropunctata (little fire ant), 580 nucleotides. RefSeq lists it as uncharacterized. The record is from RefSeq and is a predicted model, not a curated record. The transcript is spliced from 3 exons. Lineage: Eukaryota; Metazoa; Arthropoda; Insecta; Hymenoptera; Formicidae.
UUUACUGCUAAGUGUCGCCGCGGUCAUAUUUAACUCAAUGUGAAAUUAAUAUACGAAUAUAUUCCCCCCGUUCGUUGUACUACUUUAUUUAAAUUCAAAGCGACACGCGAUCCGAAUACGUGCGUUAAAUACCGGGGUUUACUUAUGCGAUGAUCGACAAAUAGCCGACGUCCCAAUCGCGUUCGUCAAUCGCGAGAUUUGAAGUGAUCGCGUAAGCUACACAGUCGCUAAUGACUCGGAACGAUCGCACGUUACGAACAACGUUUCCCAAUACUUGGCUCGGUCGCGUCUCGAGGUGUGAUACGACGAGAUACACGCGGCAUCUCGCUCCGCCGCUGUUGAGUCCGGCCGUUCCGCACGAUAACAACAAGAAAAAUUCGUGAUCGAGGACUCGCGGCGAGCUCGUCGAGGAGGCAAGCAAGAAACCGGCCCUGUGAUCGAAGACGGUCGGUCGGUACCGGUCCGGAACCCAUUCAGGUGGUGGAUGGCGGUUUACGACGGGAGGAAGCUGUUCCGCGUUGCCGAGAAGUAUCGAUGAGGCUCUCUGACGGUGGUUACACAUGUGGAGCAGGACAGAGGG